RNAcentral lists this ribosomal RNA (432 nucleotides) under uncultured bacterium. Its description in RNAcentral is "partial 16S ribosomal RNA". It matches the Rfam family "Bacterial small subunit ribosomal RNA", at positions 29 to 506 of the family's 1533-position model. The record is from RNAcentral.
AACGAACGCUGGCGGCAUGCCUAACACAUGCAAGUCGAACGAGACCUUCGGGUCUAGUGGCGCACGGGUGCGUAACGCGUGGGAACCUGCCCUUAGGUUCGGAAUAACUCCCCGAAAGGGGUGCUAAUACCGGAUAAUGUCUUCGGACCAAAGAUUUAUCGCCUUUGGAUGGGCCCGCGUUGGAUUAGCUAGUUGGUAGGGUAAAAGCCUACCAAGGCGACGAUCCAUAGCUGGUCUGAGAGGAUGAUCAGCCACACUGGGACUGAGACACGGCCCAGACUCCUACGGGAGGCAGCAGUGGGGAAUAUUGGACAAUGGGCGAAAGCCUGAUCCAGCAAUGCCGCGUGAGUGAUGAAGGCCUUAGGGUUGUAAAGCUCUUUUACCCGGGAUGAUAAUGACAGUACCGGGAGAAUAAGGUCCGGCUAACUCCGU